GAACGCUGGCGGCAGGCCUAACACAUGCAAGUCGAGCGGCAGCACAGAGGAACUUGUUCCUUGGGUGGCGAGCGGCGGACGGGUGAGUAAUGCCUGGGAAAUUGCCCUGAUGUGGGGGAUAACCAUUGGAAACGAUGGCUAAUACCGCAUGAUGCCUACGGGCCAAAGAGGGGGACCUUCGGGCCUCUCGCGUCAGGAUAUGCCCAGGUGGGAUUAGCUAGUUGGUGAGGUAAUGGCUCACCAAGGCGACGAUCCCUAGCUGGUCUGAGAGGAUGAUCAGCCACACUGGAACUGAGACACGGUCCAGACUCCUACGGGAGGCAGCAGUGGGGAAUAUUGCACAAUGGGCGCAAGCCUGAUGCAGCCAUGCCGCGUGUAUGAAGAAGGCCUUCGGGUUGUAAAGUACUUUCAGUCGUGAGGAAGGUUGUAGUGUGAAUAGCACUAUGAUUUGACGUUAGCGACAGAAGAAGCACCGGCUAACUCCGUGCCAGCAGCCGCGGUAAUACGGAGGGUGCGAGCGUUAAUCGGAAUUACUGGGCGUAAAGCGCAUGCAGGUGGUUUGUUAAGUCAGAUGUGAAAGCCCUGGGCUCAACCUAGGAGUUGCAUUUGAAACUGACAAGCUAGAGUACUGUAGAGGGGGG
RNAcentral lists this ribosomal RNA (641 nucleotides) under Vibrio vulnificus. Its description in RNAcentral is "bacterial SSU rRNA". It matches the Rfam family "Bacterial small subunit ribosomal RNA", at positions 31 to 661 of the family's 1533-position model. Lineage: Bacteria; Pseudomonadati; Pseudomonadota; Gammaproteobacteria; Vibrionales; Vibrionaceae. The record is from RNAcentral.